This 240-nucleotide unclassified non-coding RNA is filed under the name soil metagenome. RNAcentral's name for it is "partial contains 5.8S ribosomal RNA, internal transcribed spacer 2, and large subunit ribosomal RNA". The record is from RNAcentral.
AACCUAGCACACCUGCGGUGUGUACCUGCGGAAGGAUCAUUACUGAGUUAGGGUCUUUUUUGGCCCGACCUCCAACCCUUUGUUUAUUAAACCAUGUUGCUUUGGCGGGCCUGCCUUUCGGGGCUGCCGGGGGCAUCACUGCCCCUGACUCGUGCCUGCCAGGAGCCUUCUUAAAUUCAGUGUUCAAUGGUGCUGUCUGAGUCCCGGUAUCAAUAUCAUAAAACUUUCAGCAAUGGAUCU